Molecule: long non-coding RNA, 870 nt
Organism: Cephus cinctus (wheat stem sawfly)
Lineage: Eukaryota; Metazoa; Arthropoda; Insecta; Hymenoptera; Cephidae
Exons: 3
Source: RefSeq, a predicted model, not a curated record
CCUGAGUAGGCUGUUAGGUAGGCAGAUACAGAAUUUCAGGUGCUACCAGGUAUUUCGCAAGUGUAAUAAUAUUCCAUCAAGGGUAAGGAAAGGCCUGAUUGCAGAAUAUAGCUUACCAUUGGUAUUGCAAAGGACUUGCAUUGUUCCCUGGAUAAGGAACCAAACCGGAGCGACUAUAUCACGGACUCGUGCACACGAGGCAUCUAGUUCGCGCCGAUUACAAGAACACAGAAUCGAAUGGCGAGGAGAGAGCGAAUGAUAAUUUUAUCGACUGCGACGAUAAUAAUAAUAAAUUUGCAAGAUCAGUGGCCAGAUCUACGCACCACGCCCUAUCCGGCCGUUCUUUAUCAAGGUGAUCAAUUAUCAUCGGGAGAACAACGAUAAUUAAUAGCGUAAAGGAGUAUAAAAAUCGUACCCGGACUCUCGGGAACGGCGACCAUUGCUUAUUGGGGUGUAAAGGUAUAAGAACUAAUAAAAACAGUCUAAGGCCUUUUGUCAAUAUAACCGAUAGAAUAUAUAUCGAUUAUAUAACAGCUGGUACGUAUGGCUCGUGUGCCUUUUGAAUUUCGAUUUUAUCAGACCGAUUUAUAUGGACUUUGAUAUUAGGAGCGUGGCGAAUAGCCGAAUUUAAUAAUAUUGGAAAUAGAUUCUUUAGUCAAUUUAAUACAGCGAAGGUAUAUAGGAUACAAUAUGUGUGAUACAUAUGUGAAUAUUUUUCUCAUGGACUAUACAGCGCUAUAUUUAUCAGCUGUGUGCACCUAUCAUGGUCUUUAUAAACAACACUUAAAUUUUGUAGGAUACACAGAAUACAAUAUAUGUGAUAAAUAUGCGAAUAGUUUUCUCAUUGACUAUACAGGGCUGUAUUUAUCA